CCUACGGGUGGCUGCAGUGGGGAAUAUUGCACAAUGGGGGAAACCCUGAUGCAGCGACGCCGCGUGAGUGAAGAAGUAUUUCGUUAUGUAAAGCUCUAUCAGCAGGGAAGAAAAUGACGGUACCUGAGUAAGAAGCCACGGCUAACUACAUGCCAGCAGCCGCGGUAAUACGUAGGGGGCAAGCGUUAUCCGGAUUUACUGGGUGUAAAGGGAGCGUAGACGGCAUUGCAAGUCAGGAGUGAAAGGCGGGGGCUCAACCCCCGGACUGCUGUUGAAACUGUGAGGCUUGAGUGCCGGAGAGGUAGGGGGAAUUCCUAGGGUAGCGGGGGAAUGCGUAGAUAUUAGGAGGGACACCAGUGGCGAAGGCGGCCUACUGGACGGUGAAUGACGUUGAGGCUCGAAAGCGUGGGGAGCAAACAGGAUUAGAGACCCGAGUAGUC
RNAcentral lists this ribosomal RNA (440 nucleotides) under uncultured bacterium. RNAcentral describes it as "partial 16S ribosomal RNA". It matches the Rfam family "Bacterial small subunit ribosomal RNA", at positions 338 to 795 of the family's 1533-position model. The record is from RNAcentral.